GAAAUGCGAUAAGUAAUGUGAAUUGCAGAAUUCAGUGAAUCAUCGAAUCUUUGAACGCACAUUGCGCCCUCUGGUAUUCCGGGGGGCACAUCUGUUCGAGCGUCAUUACAACCCUCAAGCUCUGCUUGGUAUUGGGCGUCGUCCGUCUGGACGUGCCUCAAAGCCCUCGUGCGGCGUGGCCCGGCUUCAAGCGUAGCAGAAAAACCUCGCUUUGGAAGUCCGAGUCCCGUCUGCCGGAUGACAACACCUUUUUUUACCAAGGUUGACCUCGGAUCAGAUGGGGAUACCCGCUGAACUUAA
This 300-nucleotide unclassified non-coding RNA is filed under the name uncultured Ascomycota. RNAcentral describes it as "sequence contains ITS1". The stretch from base 1 to 105 matches the Rfam family "5.8S ribosomal RNA", at positions 50 to 154 of the family's 154-position model. Lineage: Eukaryota; Fungi; Ascomycota. The record is from RNAcentral.